AGUAAACGGCGGCCGUAACUAUACCGGCCCUAAUGUAGCGAAAUUCCCUGUCAGGUAAAUUCUGACCCGCACGAAUGGCGUAACCACUUGGGCGCUGUCUCAACGAGAGAUCCGGUGAAAUUUUAAUACCUGUGAAGAUGCAGGUUACCCGCGACAAGACGGAAAGACCCCAUGGAGCUUUACUGCAGCUUGAUAUUGAAUUUGGGUACGAUCUGUACAGGAUAGGUGGGAGCCGUAGAAAUCGGAGCGCAAGCUUCGGUGGAGGCGCCGUUGGGAUACCACCCUGAUCGUAUCUAGGUUCUAACCUAGUGCCCUAAUCGGGUACGGGGACCGUGUCAGGCGGGCAGUUUGACUGGGGCGGUCGCCUCCUAAAGAGUAACGGAGGCGUUCCAAGGUUCCCUCAGAAUGGUUGGAAAUCAUUCGAAGAGUGCAAAGGCAUAAGGGAGCUUGACUGCGAGACCUACAAGUCGAGCAGGGACGAAAGUCGGGCUUAGUGAUCCGGUGGUUCCGCAUGGAAGGGCCAUCGCUCAACGGAUAAAAGCUACCCCGGGGAUAACAGGCUUAUCUCCCCCAAGAGUCCACAUCGACGGGGAGGUUUGGCACCUCGAUGUCGGCUCAUCGCAUCCUGGGGCUGUAGUCGGUCCCAAGGGUUGGGCUGUUCGCCCAUUAAAGCGGUACGCGAGCUGGGUUCAGAACGUCGUGAGACAGUUCGGUCCCUAUCCGUCGUGGGCGUAGGAAAUUUGAGAGGAGCUGUCCUUAGUACGAGAGGACCGGGAUGGACGCACCGCUGGUGUACCAGUUGUUCUGCCAAGGGCAUAGCUGGGUAGCUAUGUGCGGAAGGGAUAAGUGCUGAAAGCAUCUAAGCAUGAAGCCCCCCUCAAGAUGAGAUUUCCCAUUCCGCAAGGAAGUAAGAUCCCUGAAAGAUGAUCAGGUUGAUAGGUCUGAGGUGGAAGUGUGGCGACACAUGGAGCUGACAGAUACUAAUCGAUCGAGGACUUAACCUA
This 1004-nucleotide ribosomal RNA is filed under the name Salmonella enterica subsp. enterica serovar Kentucky. RNAcentral's name for it is "partial 23S ribosomal RNA". It matches the Rfam family "Bacterial large subunit ribosomal RNA", at positions 1922 to 2925 of the family's 2925-position model. The record is from RNAcentral. Lineage: Bacteria; Pseudomonadati; Pseudomonadota; Gammaproteobacteria; Enterobacterales; Enterobacteriaceae.